GGGUAUGGGGUAACAGUCUCAACAGGCCACUUUGGAACAGAAGAUAAUGCAGAUUCAUCAAUUUCUGCAGGAGAUGAAGUUGGAUGCAAUGGAAGACAAACUGCGCUAUAAGAAAGUAUAGAUUAAUGGCCUGAUGGCAUAGACUGACCCAGCAGAAUUGAAGAUUAUGCUAGCUUUAGUGUACUAAUAAUCUUAAUUUUAAUAACGACAGGAGGCGAGUAUUUUGCAUAUCUCUCUUUACUAACUCCAUACAGCAGUAAAGAGACACAUAGAAAAAAAGAACCCAUCACAGGAGAGCAGGAU
Pelobates cultripes (western spadefoot toad) is the source of this 303-nucleotide non-coding RNA. The record is from the annotation of a GenBank genome assembly. Lineage: Eukaryota; Metazoa; Chordata; Amphibia; Anura; Pelobatidae.